AAUACACAAAAAUUCCUCAAUACGCCUUUUCAAUUCAGGCAGAUGAAUCGUAAAUACACAAGUUGACAGCCCCUCGGUCAACAAAAGGUCCGAUGUACGGAAUCUGUCAAGUUGAGAAAAAGUGGACAUACGACCUGUUUGUUGGCAGCCUGAAACUUAUUCCUUUGACGAUAAUAUAUAAUAUUUUUAUUUUACCAAUUUACCUAUGUAUGUACAGUCAAUAAAUUAAACAAAAGAAAUUAUGAUGGAAUGCAACUCCGAGUACAUGGACCAUUACAGGAUCCGUCAGAGAUAGAUCCCUUAUCUCAUCAAGCCCUUUCAAGCUAGCGAGCCACCUAAGAUGUAUGAUGUAGGCUGCUGCUCCUUCAAGUCCGCAGAUGAUUUCACAUAGUGCCAGCUCUGUGAUAGUGUGCUUGUGCCAUCGAGAAGAUGUGGAUAUUCCGACUGUUGCCACUAAGGGAGUCGAAUUCGGUUCGAACGAGUUCCGGACUGUGCGCCGUUGAUGGCAUUCUGUGUUCUGAUUUGACACACACUGCCAUCGUGCCAUUAGAUUUUGUCAAGCAUCAUAUGAAGGCCAGUGCUGCUAAAUACAAGAUUCUGCUCCACGGGUUCAAGGUCGCUGUUGCUCAAGAGAGCAUCCACGGUGAGGCCAAGGAUGGGCUCCAAUGUUCUUCGAAUAUUAGGUACAGGAUGCUAUUAAUUUUGAUCUGUGUGAAUUAUUUAAAAUCCAGUACGCCAAUAUGAUGAACAAUGUGUAUUUGGCUGCAUCCGCCUUGACUGGAUUCUUCACCGACAUUGCCCUGUCGCCAUUGAAAGCUGCUUAAAUCAAGAUUCAGACAACUCGGCUAUGCCGACUGCACCAAGCGAGAACAAUAAUUGAUGGUCACAUUUGCCGCACAACCCGGCUAAGAGAUCCAGCACUAUCAAUGUGGCCAUGAAGCUCAGUUUCAUAGGCAUGUGGAAUGUUCUGAUGCCGCUCAUGAUCAUGAUACAAUGGUGCCAAUACCAGGAACUAAUAACCGGGACCCGACACUCGGAAUUUUUCGGUGUUGCGCCUAAUUCUAAAUCGGUGUGUAGGAGUCCUAGGUAUACAACUGAAAAGACACUAUUCAAUGCUGUCAAUUAUCUGAUUUUCCGCCAAUAUUUUCUCUCGGUGCAUAACUGACAGCAUUGAUAUUUUUUUAUUUUUUCAUCAGAUCUGUCAAGUUUUGUCAAUUUGUUUUUCUUCCUACAGACCAAUUGAGUGCAUUUUUUAUUUUCUUAAUUGCACGUUUAUUAAUUAUAGUUUAUUAAAUAGAACAUUAAUCGUUUAAUAUAAACUUUUUGAGAUGAAUUAUUAAGUAGCACAAUAAGCCUUUACUUAUUUAAUACCACAAACAUACAGUUACAUCUUUGCACGACUGAUACUGCGUUUGGACCACGGUUUGGACAGGUUUGCUAACAACUCCCAAUAGUCGCCUGGAAACGACCAUCACUACUUGCUGGAUAUUCUGGAAGUCCCUGCAUCGAAUCACAUCGACGAUGUUCUUUCCGGUGGCUUGAAGAGCUCGAAUCGCAGUGCAUUGAAUCUAAAUUCUGCUAAGGAACUGCCAGUAGUGCCUGAGAGUGCAAUCAAUCGGAAGCGAACGAUUUGACAAUGUCGCUGUACGCCAUCAAUAUUGUCGCCGUCUGCAUCAGUCGUUAUGACCUCGAUUAUGACUACGGGAAACACAAUCGUGAUCUACAUUACGUCUGCACGGGCUGCAGUUCUCGUCAACAGUCGCCGGGUCAGAAUAGACGAUAUCACGAUGUGCAAUUUUAUGUUACGGUCGCCGAAGUAGGCGCUUCAUCCAAGGAUUACUCACUUGAACAGCGGAAAGCUUCAGUAUAUACUGGACGUUAAAUUAGUAACUGGUUUGCACUUCAUCCAGAUCCUGACGGCCUCAAUGAGGAAAACAACCUGAUUCUUUUGUUGGUUGGGGUAGCUCUGAGGAUCCGUUGGCUCACUGCUGAUCCAGUUGUUUGAGCACCGCUUCCCACUCGGAAUCAUUUGCUAACUGAUGGCACCCGACAAUUCGCAAUAGUUUUGGAUUUAUUGUGCAACUUUUCAAAUAAUCCCGGAAAAGCGCCUUAAUUUCAAUACCAAUAUUAUGGUAUUAUUUCGGUCGUAAAAAAACUAGAGCAAUUUGUGGACGACUUUCCGAACGCCAGGACAAAGGAAAGUGAAGCAAAAGAGAGAAACGAUUUGCUGUAGGUGAUCCGAAAAUCGUUCCAGUAGUAAGUAAAAAGCUUACUAAUUCUAUGCCGAUAUCAUAAACUUACUUCGUAGGCUGACGAGAAUCUUUUCGGGAUACCGACGGGAAUCUUUUCGGGAUACACCUCUGCUAAACUAGCAGGAAAAAUCGAGCAGGAAAAAAGCUCUUUCAGUGCGCCACCUGUGCCUGAAUGCAUGAACUAUGAGCAGGUAAAAAUAUUUUCCCUGCUAACUUCACAUUUUGAGCUUUUUUCCUGCUAACUUCACAAUAUUGAGCUUUUUCCCGGCUGAGUUCACAGGUCGAGCUUUUUUCCUGCUGAGUUCGAAUUCGUGCAUUACGUAGUGAUAUUUUUAUUUUCAAAUGUUUUUAAUUAAAUAAUUGAUUAUUUGUUUUCAAAUAUAAUACAUGGAAUAACUUCUAGAAUGGUGAGUCAAGAUUAAAAAAUAAUUGUUUUAUUGAUGCCGGCAAAUUUCAAUGGGUUUAGGUAAUAUUUACAAUUACAUAUCAUAAUUAUACAGCAAUACAUAACGAUUUUUGAAAAUCUUAAAUUAAAAUUAGACAUGUUGAGUAAAAGUAAAAUAGGAUAGGUAAUGCUAAAUUUCAGAUUUGUCUAACUAAGAAAAUUUUUCAAUUAUGCUAACUAAUACUAAUAUGAAAUCAAGUUCAAAGUUUUCCUGAAACAAUUUAUCAAAUAUUGAGUGAAUAUUUUGGAAACGCUGAUAUUGCUUUUGGAAUUGGUAAUUGGUGCUUUAUAAAAAACGAUAGCCUGCUAGUAGGGUAUCUGUUCCUAUAUUAAUAACAGCCCGUAUAUUAAUCCCAACCGUCGAUAAACCAAAUAAAAAAUCAAUUUAUUUAAUAAGACUUUUAUUCAGUACAAUGUUGGUACUAAAAUUAGAAGCAUGGUUAUUUCAAAACGUCUUGAAAAUAGCUAGGGUACCUACUGAUGAAUUUAGAUAUAAGAUAUUCUGCUGGAAAGUAUUUAGUAUGCUGAAGUCUUGAAGCAAGUCCGUAUGAGUAGUUGUGAUACAUAAUAUGAAAACAAUGUUGUAAAAUGCUGUUUUUAGCAAAGAAGAAUGAAAAAUUAAAACAUGAUGAGUUGAUGCUUAUUAGGCGGAACUUUUAAAACGCGUCAACGUUUUUAUCCUGUUCGUAUACCUUUUGAGCAAUGUUGAAAAAAUCUGUUUUUAGUAAAAAGAUGAAUGAAGAAUUGAGACAUAACGAGUUUAUGCUUAUUAAGUGGAAUUUUUCAAACGCGUCAA
This is a long non-coding RNA of Armigeres subalbatus, 3493 nucleotides long. RefSeq lists it as uncharacterized. The transcript has 3 exons. The record is from RefSeq and is a predicted model, not a curated record. Lineage: Eukaryota; Metazoa; Arthropoda; Insecta; Diptera; Culicidae.